RNAcentral lists this long non-coding RNA (842 nucleotides) under Marmota monax (woodchuck). The record is from RNAcentral. Lineage: Eukaryota; Metazoa; Chordata; Mammalia; Rodentia; Sciuridae.
UCGACCACAAUUGAACAAAGAGGGAAAAAAGGUAACCCAGUCUCCCAUGGCACAAACAAAAGUGUCCAGCUGCAGGAGAUUAUUUUACAUGGUUGAGUCAAUGAAUACAGAAGUCACAGAGUCUAGAGCAGCUUAUGGGUGGGCCUGACACAAGUUCUAGAAGGAUACCUACUUCAUCAGGCAAGCCCUGGCAUCCAGGAGCACAGCAGAUCAAGUAGCACAGCCUGGUCAGACCAUUGCAUCUGGCACUAAGCAGGUAGAAGGACUACAGCUUCUGGAAGGCAGAACACAGACGGACACAGCCCUAGAGAAACUUAGGCUCGGAACCCAGAGCCAGGUACUAGGAAAGGAUGCUGUUUAGACAAGAGACUAAUAUAGGUCUAGGGGUUACCCUGAGUCUAGACCAGAGGUCUUCCCAUUCUUCCUACUUUAGGCCUUGGACCUGCAUAGUCCCAUCUGUGCAGAACAACUUGUCAUCUAGAAAUAGAUGCUCCUACUGGGUUGACGCUAUGACAUAUUAGCACUUCUGCUGAAAAUAGAGGCUUUGUGGCCCAUAAUGCACAGUGGACAUCCUCAGAUGGCUAUAGGUUUUAAACAAGCAGGAGUUGGAAUGAGUGUGCGUGUCACCAGCCCACAGUUUAAGAUACCUUGUCCCAUAUUGCCUUAGCCUUCUCCCCUUCUAGAGCUUGCAAUUAUACAAAAAAAAGGUACUUUUACCAAAUUAAUUUGGUAUUAUAUACCUACUGAAAUGAAUAUUAUUUAGAGUUUUACUAGAUGUUAAUGUUUCUCUUUAUUUAGAUCCAAGGAACCAGAAACACACAUUAAAAGGAAACAAUCAAAAC